Cajanus cajan (pigeon pea) is the source of this 811-nucleotide non-coding RNA. Lineage: Eukaryota; Viridiplantae; Streptophyta; Magnoliopsida; Fabales; Fabaceae. The record is from RefSeq and is a predicted model, not a curated record.
CUGCCCACUCAUCUAAUUCUUCAUUGGUUGUCUUUCCUUUUUUGCUUGCCAUGGGUGGAUUUCUUCCAACUUAGAGCACCAUACCGCAACAACACAUUCUGAAAUUGAGUUUUGCAAUUGUUUUGAUUGAUCCACUGCAUUCUUUGGAUCCUAGCUUCUCAAGGGAAGAACAUUGAUCCACCGCAUUGUUUUGAUCCCAAUUUUCCAUUUUGGUGUUCAAUUUCCUAUUUCUCUCUUUCUUUUCUUUUUUAACUUCCUCAUUGUUAUAUUUGGAUUUUUGUUUGUGUUUGAAGUUGAACUUUCGAAGUUUUUAGAGAGGUGUUUUACUAUCCAGAGUAAUAGGUUCAUCAACCAUUGAUUCUACAAUCAACAAUACUUUUUACGGUAUUUUUCCAGCAUUAUUGAUUUUGGAUAUACUUAGCCUUCAAUUAAAAAUAUUCAAAAUUUUCUAAUUUCUUUUUCAAUUUUUUUGGCAUCUUUUCUCCCUAACUCCUAAACAUACUUUUGAGGCGAAGCUAUAUCUACUCACACCACUUGGGGUCGAACCAAUAUGACAACCAUGAUGGGAUAUUUGGGAUUUUCUCUAUCUGUGGUGAUGCAAAUCAUGGAUGUAAAACUUCACUACACAUAAGCAAAGUAUGAAUCUUUGUUUCCUCUCCACUCCACACAGAGGAAUUGCAAGUGUAGUAUUCCUUACUUACCUCGACAACUUGUUGGUGAAAUCUGUCGGUGCCUUUGAUCAAGAAUCCUUGUCUUUUCUUUAAAUUGUUGUAAACUUGCAUUACAUUACAUUCAUAAAACAGACUACCAU